This 254-nucleotide ribosomal RNA is filed under the name uncultured bacterium. Its description in RNAcentral is "partial 16S ribosomal RNA". It matches the Rfam family "Bacterial small subunit ribosomal RNA", at positions 524 to 776 of the family's 1533-position model. The record is from RNAcentral.
UACGUAGGGGGCAAGCGUUGUCCGGAAUUAUUGGGCGUAAAGAGCUCGUAGGCGGUUCGGCAAGUCGGGUGUGACAACUCCAGGCUCAACCUGGAGAGGUCACUCGAUACUGCUGUGACUAGAGUCCGGUAGGGGAGCAUGGAAUUCCCGGUGUAGCGGUGAAAUGCGCAGAUAUCGGGAGGAACACCAGUGGCGAAGGCGGUGCUCUGGGCCGGAACUGACGCUGAGGAGCGAAAGCGUGGGUAGCAAACAGG